Molecule: ribosomal RNA, 253 nt
Filed under: uncultured bacterium
Lineage: Bacteria
Description: partial 16S ribosomal RNA
Rfam family: Bacterial small subunit ribosomal RNA
Source: RNAcentral
UACAGAGGUCUCAAGCGUUGUUCGGAUUCAUUGGGCGUAAAGGGUGCGUAGGCGGCGCGGUAAGUCGGGUGUGAAAUCUCGGGGCUUAACUCCGAAACUGCAUUCGAUACUACCGUGCUUGAGGACUGGAGAGGAGACUGGAAUUUACGGUGUAGCGGUGAAAUGCGUAGAUAUCGUAAGGAAGACCAGUGGCGAAGGCGGCUUACUGGUCCGGUUCUGACGCUGAGGCGCGAAAGCGUGGGGAGCAAACAGG